Molecule: transfer RNA, 83 nt
Filed under: Danio rerio (zebrafish)
Lineage: Eukaryota; Metazoa; Chordata; Actinopteri; Cypriniformes; Danionidae
Description: tRNA-Leu (CAG) (tRNA-Leu-CAG-75-1)
Rfam family: tRNA
About the family: Transfer RNA (tRNA) molecules are approximately 80 nucleotides in length.
Source: Rfam by way of RNAcentral
GUCAGGAUGGCCGAGCAGUCUAAGGCACUGCGUUCAGGUCGCAGUCUCCCCUGGAGGCGUGGGUUUGAAUCCCACUUCUGACA